CGUAGGCGGCCUCGUAGUCUCGACGCAGUUGAUUUAUUCGAACGGAAGAACGCCUUUUGUCUCGUCGUUUAGGAAUUUACAAGGAAGUUGCGCUGCCGUACCGCUGGUCGAAUUAAAAUCUCUAGAUUUCUUUCACGGCUUGAAUAUUAUGUAUCUGCAGGCAUACCAAGAAUUUACAACGAAGUUGCGCUGCCGCAUCGCUGGUCGAAUGAAUCGUUGGACUUCUUUCACGGCUUGAAUAUUAUGCAUCUACAGGCAUACCAAUGUUACAAUGGAAAUAAUUGGUCGAUAAUGCGACGUAGACGCGGCGCAUGUAAUUGGAUAUUAAAUUGGUAACGUCACUGUCUUUCUGCGGAGCGAUUCUCUUUCGCCCUCGAGGGACCGAAAGUUGGAUACGGUUUCCCGGACAACAUAAUGCAAUUUUGUCCGCAGCUUUCUCACAAAUACACAUCGCAAAUACAUCCGGGAUACUGCGCAUCGCGACGCGACAACAGCGGUUUUGUACUCGCACGGUCGAUAACCGCACUAUCGAUUUAAAUUGAGCCGUCGAACGAUCGAGUUAAUGGAGAACGGAGAUUGGGCCAAAAUGGGCAUAUCGGUACGACACGGAAGAAGCGUAAUUGAACGCAACCAAAGUGGCUUACUUGCAAGACGAUCUAUAAAUACAUGAGCGGCCACUGGUUCUCUGCUUCUCUCUUUCUCUCAUGUUUAAGCUUUGCUUUAUUAAUUCAAGUUUCUUCAUGCUUUUGCGCCUCGCGUUUCGUGCCGCUUCACCGUGACCAACUAUCGCAAUUCCAGAGAUCCGUAGUCAAUUGUAAGUGAACUUUGUGUCAUGCGAAUCGAAUCAUUUAAU
This is a long non-coding RNA of Camponotus floridanus (Florida carpenter ant), 853 nucleotides long. RefSeq lists it as uncharacterized. The transcript is spliced from 5 exons. Lineage: Eukaryota; Metazoa; Arthropoda; Insecta; Hymenoptera; Formicidae. The record is from RefSeq and is a predicted model, not a curated record.